CUUAAUACUUUUCACCGUAUCUGAAAUGAUGCCCUACAUUUUUUUUUUUUUCAAAGGCAUUUUCCCCCCACAAGAUGACUGGCAAUUUUGUGUUCUAGCCACCCUCAGACAUGAAAACACUUGGUUGCUUAUCUUGUAAAAUCUGCUCUGCUUGCUUGCUUGGGCAUGUAUGUAGUCAGUUUAGUCAAAUACGUGUCAGUACAUCUAUGUGGAUGGGGAGCAGGUGCAAGCCCUUAAAAACGUACUUUAAAAAACUUUAACACUUAAGUCAGUCCACUGAGCUGAUCCUGUGUGAUCUUAGUGCCAAGCGUCUGAGUUUAAAGUUUUCCCUUUGAAGGCAGCAAAUAGAUGUCAUACAUUUGAAGCAUUUGUUUAUACUAAAUAUGAUGCUUGAUUUUUUUUUAAGUUCUAAGACAGUUCACUGUUCAACACCAUUGAGCCUGCAGGGUGGUAUAAAGCUUCCAAAGCUGGUAUUUGAGGUUUGAUUUAAUGGAUAUUGGAAUUUUCAAUGCUGCAGUUGGCUUCAAAUAAGGUGUUUAACAUGGGCUCAGGCUAGAAAAAACAGCGGGAAUUGAUUUCCUUCUGAGAAAGGGAGUCAGCAAAGAAAUAACUUUCUGCCUUUGCUUGGUGACAGCACCUCUUUGUAAAGUAAAAUGUCCUGUGAGGCUCUUCUGUGUAGCAGCCUUAUUUUAUUUUAAGAAGCAC
RNAcentral lists this long non-coding RNA (705 nucleotides) under Homo sapiens (human). Its description in RNAcentral is "HSALNT0263993". Lineage: Eukaryota; Metazoa; Chordata; Mammalia; Primates; Hominidae. The record is from RNAcentral.